This is a long non-coding RNA of Athene cunicularia (burrowing owl), 2448 nucleotides long. RefSeq lists it as uncharacterized. The transcript is spliced from 3 exons. The record is from RefSeq and is a predicted model, not a curated record. Lineage: Eukaryota; Metazoa; Chordata; Aves; Strigiformes; Strigidae.
CGGCAGCGCCAAGCGGCGCCAGGCCCUGCCCGCCCGCCGGCACAGCUCCCGUUCCGAGUGGGACACGAGCUCCAGCAGCGUGAACGACCCCAUGGUGGACUCGGGGAAAGCCAGUGACAUCUCGGUGUCGAGCUGGCCCAUGGAGCCCCCGCCCUGGGCCCCCUUCCCGCUGCCCCAGCAGCUCUCCAGGCAGCGGCCGCACAAAGCCCACAGGCCCCGUCCCUCCUGCGAGGGGCUGGAGCUGGUCACCCUGGAGAGGAGCUGGACGGCCUGAGGAGCAGGGAGCAAGAGACGGGCGACGAGGUUCCGCUUUUAAAACCAACCACAUUUUUAUUUCCACGUAACAAGCUCAGUGAAGGGAUUUCAAACACUUUGACAAUACAAUCAACGCAGGUGCGAUGUCAGUUCCACGCCAGGCAGAGUCCUGAGGGAUUAUCUGCCACCGUCGUCGCCACGGGUCAGACCAGACCGCAGAAGCCAGCUUUGGCUUGGGACAGCGAAUUUCAUCGUAAGUAGUUACAGAUAAGUGUCUGGUAACACACAAUGCUGGCAUCCAACAGAGUUAAUGACUUACAUCCGGCAAUUGGAAAAUAAAGUCUAACAGAUUGUUGAAGUCACAUCAUACUAUGUACAUAUAUGGUCUGCCCUAUAGCCAUUUCAGAACAAGCUAAGCCACUGUGAAAGUGAAAUACAAAUUAAGCGCUGCUGCAUUGUUCAUCAUGAUUAAUGUAAAUGAGGUAUAAAUUUAAACACCAGUACGUUUUAAGCAUUAAAGUUUAUUUUCCAAAAUGCUCUCCUCAUUUGCAAGUGUCCUCUUGAGCAUCUAGCUGGGCACAAAUGGUGGGGUCGUUUGAAAAUGGGGCGUUUGAAGUGUACUGAGGAUGAGGGCAACGGGAUCCCAAAGGUGCUCGAAUAGAAAAGGAAAAGCAAGCUGCAGUUUUCUACACUUAUAUUCUCAUCUCAUAGUGGGCACGUUGAGGGAGAUUUUUGCUAGAAUAAAAUGCAGAUCUGUUCAUAAAAAAAAUCAGUUUGCUAAAAGAAAAAAAAAAAAAUCAAACUAUGGGAAUACAGAGCUAUCAUAUCGUUUGAUAUUUUCAUUGUAUAGAAAACAGCCUACAAAUAAAGUCACAAAAAAUAGACAGUUAUAUGCUGAGCAGCCAAAAACAUCAUGAUUUAUUAAUAUCUGGAGAAACUUCAUAAUUCAAACACAACCAAACUGUACAUUUUACAAUCACAUUCUAUUUGUAAACAGUUAAAAGCCACUGACUUCUUUUGCAUCUUCGGACACAAACAGUUAGAAUCAAGGCAAUGAAAUGAUGGCGAUUUCUGCACUGUUAAAAUUUUUACCCUUGCCUAGUCUUUAAUUAAUUGACUAAACAAGCAUUAUAUAAUACCUUUUGUGGCAAAAAGAUGUAACUCGUUACUUUUGCAAGAAAGUAUUUGCGAGAACUUUUUAAAACAUUUAAAACUUUUAUACAACAAACAAUUCUGUAAGCCCAAUAACUUGGUUACAGUAUGCAUAGUUACUCAGUUCGGCUUUAAGGUACGACAGUUAAACGUUAACACAGUCACAAGAGCAGAAACAGAGCCACUCGAUGGGAUUACAAAAAAAUUGUAUAACUACAGAUUAUUAGCAAACCACCACCACUCACUAAUAAAAAGACAGCGUCAGAAAGCAGUAUGUCAAACUCCAGCUUGAAGCAUUUUUUUUUUGGCAGAGAAAAGUCUUACAGAGCAAUAAGUAUUAUCAGUGCUAAAAGUUGAGUUUUUUUUCCUAUAAGAAACUACAAGGAGUUUUUACUGGGGAACUGGUUUUCCUGAGAGCCAUGCUCUUUGAUUUAGGAUACAGGAAUAGAAAACAAAAGGACAUGGCCAAACACUGUUCAUUAUUCCCAGAGAUAGAAAGCAUCUUUUUCAUUCUCAAUUUUUUUUUUUUUGUCUUUUUAAAAAUUUUUAAAAUGAUGGAAGAGUAAACAUUUUUCUCAAAAAACAAAAAAAAUAUUCUGUAAACAAGAAGGUCCCAACACGGGCACCCCCAAAACAAAAUUGAAAGCCUAUUGAAAGUGCAGGACCCCCCUGGCUUGCAGGCUGGGUUGCAAGUCACAGCUGUGGCCACAGUUUUUUAAACUGUAGAGCUAAAUUCUUUAGUUUUAUACAUGAAAAAACUGGUGCAAUACUUUCAUUCAUAAUCCUAAGUCAGUAUCAUAACUUGAUCUUUAAACGCCACAAUACCACAAUAAGGUAGGCAUACAUCAAGGCAUAGUAGAGAGCGCACACUGUUUGUUAAGAACAUCCUUGAGUAAACAUUUACACGUGAACUGCUGCCUCCCCGAUAUUGCCGAUUAGACAGAGAGAACAUCAUUCAGUGCAAAGUUAAAAAAGCUCAUACUCCAACAUUAUCAGCAAAAUGCAAAAAAAAAAAAAAAAAAAAAAAAAAAAUAAACAUGA